RNAcentral lists this ribosomal RNA (497 nucleotides) under uncultured bacterium. RNAcentral's name for it is "partial 16S ribosomal RNA". It matches the Rfam family "Bacterial small subunit ribosomal RNA", at positions 28 to 507 of the family's 1533-position model. The record is from RNAcentral.
GAUGAACGCUGGCGGCGUGCUUAUUAAAUGAAGGUGGAGCGAAAGGAUGAGGAGUUUGUUCUUUUGAGGUUAGGGGGGGAGGGGGGGGAAACACGUGGAUAACUAACUAUUAGGAUGGGGAUAAUUUCGGGAAACGGGAGUUAAUCCGGGAUAAUUUAUUAACCCGCAGGGUUAAAUAGGGAAAGAGGGUUUGGCUGUCACUUAUAGUUGGAUCGGCGCCGCAUUAGCUAGUUGGUAAGGUAACGGCUUACCAAGGCAACGAUGCGUAGCCGACCUGAGAGGGUGAUCGGCCACACUGGAACUGAGACACGGUCCAGACUCCUACGGGAGGCAGCAGUAGGGAAUCUUCCGCAAUGGGCGAAAGCUUGACGGAGCAACGCCGCGUGAGUGAUGAAGGUCUUCGGAUCGUAAAACUCUGUUAUUAGGGAAGAACAAAUGUGUAAGUAACUAUGCACGUCUUGACGGUACCUAAUCAGAAAGCCACGGCUAACUACGUG